This 289-nucleotide unclassified non-coding RNA is filed under the name uncultured Nitrospiraceae bacterium. RNAcentral describes it as "contains 16S-23S intergenic spacer region". The record is from RNAcentral. Lineage: Bacteria; Pseudomonadati; Nitrospirota; Nitrospiria; Nitrospirales; Nitrospiraceae.
UCCCCGUUAUCCUGGGCAGUCCCUCCAGAGUUCCCGGCAUAACCCGCUGGCUACCCUUGCGGGUUCAUCCCCGUUUCCGGUUCUUACCACCAGCAUGUCAAACCUGGGUAAGGUUCUUCGCGUUGCGUCGAAUUAAACCACAUGCACCACCGCUUGUGCGGGCCCCCGUCAAUUCCUUUGAGUUUCAACCUUGCGGCCGUACUCCCCAGGCGGGGAACUUACUCCGUUAGGUGCGGCACCGGCGGUAACCCGCCGACACUUAGUUCCCAUCGUUUAGGGCGUGGACUAC